AGAGUUUGAUCAUGGCUCAGGACGAACGCUGGCGGCGUGCUUAACACAUGCAAGUCGAGCGGAAAGGCUCCUUCGGGGGUACUCGAGCGGCGAACGGGUGAGUAACACGUGAGUAAUCUGCCCCUGGCUUUGGGAUAGCCACCGGAAACGGUGAUUAAUACCGGAUAUGACCACUUCUCGCAUGGGUUGUGGUGGAAAGUUUUUCGGCCAGGGAUGUGCUCGCGGCCUAUCAGCUUGAUGGUGAGGUAAUGGCUCACCAUGGCUUCGACGGGUAGCCGGCCUGAGAGGGUGACCGGUCACACUGGGACUGAGACACGGCCCAGACUCCUACGGGAGGCAGCAGUGGGGAAUAUUGGACAAUGGGCGGAAGCCUGAUCCAGCAACGCCGCGUGAGGGAUGACGGCCUUCGGGUUGUAAACCUCUUUCACCCAUGACGAAGCGCAAGUGACGGUAGUGGGAGAAGAAGCACCGGCCAACUACGUGCCAGCAGCCGCGGUAAUACGUAGGGUGCGAGCGUUGUCCGGAAUUAUUGGGCGUAAAGGGCUCGUAGGCGGUUUGUCGCGUCGGGAGUGAAAACCAGGUGCUUAACACCUGGCUUGCUUUCGAUACGGGCAGACUAGAGGUAUUCAGGGGAGAACGGAAUUCCUGGUGUAGCGGUGAAAUGCGCAGAUAUCAGGAGGAACACCGGUGGCGAAGGCGGUUCUCUGGGAAUGACCUGACGCUGAGGAGCGAAAGUGUGGGGAGCGAACAGGAUUAGAUACCCUGGUAGUCCACACCGUAAACGUUGGGCGCUAGGUGUGGGGUCCAUUCCACGGAUUCCGUGCCGCAGCUAACGCAUUAAGCGCCCCGCCUGGGGAGUACGGCCGCAAGGCUAAAACUCAAAGGAAUUGACGG
This 894-nucleotide ribosomal RNA is filed under the name uncultured bacterium. Its description in RNAcentral is "bacterial SSU rRNA". It matches the Rfam family "Bacterial small subunit ribosomal RNA", at positions 8 to 916 of the family's 1533-position model. The record is from RNAcentral.